AUUGAACGCUGGCGGCAUGCCUUACACAUGCAAGUCGAACGGCAGCACGGGAGCAAUCCUGGUGGCGAGUGGCGAACGGGUGAGUAAUAUAUCGGAACGUGCCCGGUCGUGGGGGAUAACGUAGCGAAAGCUACGCUAAUACCGCAUACGAUCUGCGGAUGAAAGCGGGGGAUCGCAAGACCUCGCGCGAUUGGAGCGGCCGAUAUCAGAUUAGGUAGUUGGUGAGGUAAAGGCUCACCAAGCCGACGAUCUGUAGCUGGUCUGAGAGGACGACCAGCCACACUGGGACUGAGACACGGCCCAGACUCCUACGGGAGGCAGCAGUGGGGAAUUUGGACAAUGGGCGCAAGCCUGAUCCAGCAAUGCCGCGUGCAGGAUGAAGGCCUUC
Molecule: ribosomal RNA, 388 nt
Filed under: uncultured bacterium
Lineage: Bacteria
Description: bacterial SSU rRNA
Rfam family: Bacterial small subunit ribosomal RNA
Source: RNAcentral